Melanaphis sacchari is the source of this 162-nucleotide long non-coding RNA. RefSeq lists it as uncharacterized. NCBI's taxonomy places the organism in Eukaryota, Metazoa, Arthropoda, Insecta, Hemiptera, Aphididae. The record is from RefSeq and is a predicted model, not a curated record. The transcript has 2 exons.
AUUUUAUCAUGUAACUAUUACAAAAAAUAUGAUGAACUUGGGGGCCAUAUGAUAAAAAUAGGUUGUUACGUGGUACAUCUGUUGACUUUGUUUAGUCCAGAUUUCCAUUGUUUAAAAAACUUAUUAUUAUAUGCUUAUUCCCAAAUUCUGAUUUUGUACAUA